AGCGAACGCUGGCGGCAGGCUUAACACAUGCAAGUCGAGCGCCCCGCAAGGGGAGCGGCAGACGGGAGAGUAACACGUGGGGACAUACCUUUUGGUUCGGAACAACUGAGGGAAACUUCAGCUAAUACCGGAUAAGCCCUUACGGGGAAAGAUUUAUCGCCGAACGAUUGGCCCGCGUCUGAUUAGCUAGUUGGUGAGGUAACGGCUCACCAAGGCGACGAUCAGUAGCUGGUCUGAGAGGAUGAUCAGCCUCACUGGGACUGAGACACGGCCCAGACUCCUACGGGAGGCAGCAGUGGGGAAUAUUGGACAAUGGGGGCAACCCUGAUCCAGCCAUGCCGCGUGAGUGAUGAAGGCCUUAGGGUUGUAAAGCUCUUUUGCCCGGGAAGAUAAUGACGGUACCGGGAGAAUAAGCCCCGGCUAACUUCGUG
This 431-nucleotide ribosomal RNA is filed under the name uncultured bacterium. RNAcentral's name for it is "partial 16S ribosomal RNA". It matches the Rfam family "Bacterial small subunit ribosomal RNA", at positions 29 to 507 of the family's 1533-position model. The record is from RNAcentral.